This 238-nucleotide ribosomal RNA is filed under the name Panus velutinus. RNAcentral describes it as "partial large subunit ribosomal RNA". It matches the Rfam family "Eukaryotic large subunit ribosomal RNA", at positions 70 to 301 of the family's 3401-position model. Lineage: Eukaryota; Fungi; Basidiomycota; Agaricomycetes; Polyporales; Panaceae. The record is from RNAcentral.
AAGGAUUCCCCUAGUAACUGCGAGUGAAGCGGGAAAAGCUCAAAUUUAAAAUCUGGCAGUCUUUGGCUGUCCGAAUUGUAUUCUGGAGAAGCGUCUUCCGCGCUGGACCGUGUACAAGUCUCUUGGAAUAGAGCGUCAUAGAGGGUGAGAAUCCCGUCUUUGACACGGACUACCAGUGCUUUGUGAUGCGCUCUCAAAGAGUCGAGUUGUUUGGGAAUGCAGCUCAAAAUGGGUGGUG